AGCUUCUCUUUGAGCACCAUCCUACCGAAAUCUGAUGGUAGUAAAUGGUUUCGCAAGAGAAGCAUAGAAAUACAUAUUGCUGGCAAAAUGUGUCCUCUCUGUAAGGUGCGAGGUGCAAAUGGCCACUGUGUGACAUUA
Pelobates cultripes (western spadefoot toad) is the source of this 138-nucleotide non-coding RNA. The record is from the annotation of a GenBank genome assembly. NCBI's taxonomy places the organism in Eukaryota, Metazoa, Chordata, Amphibia, Anura, Pelobatidae.